Molecule: unclassified non-coding RNA, 367 nt
Filed under: fungal sp.
Lineage: Eukaryota; Fungi
Description: partial internal transcribed spacer region
Rfam family: Eukaryotic small subunit ribosomal RNA (bases 1-46)
Source: RNAcentral
AAGUCGUAACAAGGUAUUCGUAGGUGAACCUGCGAAUGGAUCAUUAACACUAAUGAACUAAAUACCAAAUCUAACAACAACAAGUUGGUGAUGUUCGCAUUACCAACUGAGAACUCGGUGGGAUGAAGAAUGGAUUCAAUCACGCGUUUUACGUGCUGUUUGCCAACUCAUUCGGAUUCCUUCACAAUUUUUAUUAAAUCCACAACAAAUUAAAACAACAACCAAAUCAUCAGACGUGGCCUUGUAAUAGGGUCUUCUGUUCUGAUUCUAACACCAAGCCUUCAAACCAUGUCUUUAACCGGACGUGUUUGUCGGAUACAUUAACAACAAUUGAAUACAACUCGUUGCAAUGGAUAUCUUGGUUCUC